RNAcentral lists this transfer RNA (84 nucleotides) under virus sp. ctHG14. RNAcentral describes it as "tRNA-Ser". It matches the Rfam family "tRNA". From Rfam's summary of the family: Transfer RNA (tRNA) molecules are approximately 80 nucleotides in length. Their secondary structure includes four short double-helical elements and three loops (D, anti-codon, and T loops). The record is from RNAcentral.
GCCGCGAUGCCACAAUGGUACUGGGCUAGUUCUGAAAACUAGUGAUCCGUAACAGGACUGAGGGUUCGAAUCCUUCUCGCGGCG